GAGUUUGAUCAUGGCUCAGAACGAACGCUGGCGGCAUGCCUAACACAUGCAAGUCGAACGAGACCUUCGGGUCUAGUGGCGCACGGGUGCGUAACGCGUGGGAAUCUGCCCUUGGGUUCGGAAUAACAGUUAGAAAUGACUGCUAAUACCGGAUGAUGACUUCGGUCCAAAGAUUUAUCGCCCAGGGAUGAGCCCGCGUAGGAUUAGCUUGUUGGUGAGGUAAAAGCUCACCAAGGCGACGAUCCUUAGCUGGUCUGAGAGGAUGAUCAGCCACACUGGGACUGAGACACGGCCCAGACUCCUACGGGAGGCAGCAGUGGGGAAUAUUGGACAAUGGGCGAAAGCCUGAUCCAGCAAUGCCGCGUGAGUGAUGAAGGCCUUAGGGUUGUAAAGCUCUUUUACCCGGGAUGAUAAUGACAGUACCGGGAGAAUAAGCCCCGGCUAACUCCGUGCCAGCCGCCGCCGUAAU
RNAcentral lists this ribosomal RNA (469 nucleotides) under uncultured Alphaproteobacteria bacterium. RNAcentral's name for it is "bacterial SSU rRNA". It matches the Rfam family "Bacterial small subunit ribosomal RNA", at positions 9 to 524 of the family's 1533-position model. The record is from RNAcentral. Lineage: Bacteria; Pseudomonadati; Pseudomonadota; Alphaproteobacteria.